GCCAGGCGUGGUGGCUCACGCCUGUAAUCCCAGCACUUUGGGAGGCUGAGAUGGGUGGAUCACCUGAGGUCAGGAGUUUGAGACCAACCUGACCAACGUGGAGAAACCCCAUCUCUA
This 117-nucleotide non-coding RNA is filed under the name Nomascus leucogenys (northern white-cheeked gibbon). Lineage: Eukaryota; Metazoa; Chordata; Mammalia; Primates; Hylobatidae. The record is from Rfam by way of RNAcentral.